This 402-nucleotide ribosomal RNA is filed under the name Speocera parva. RNAcentral's name for it is "partial large subunit ribosomal RNA". It matches the Rfam family "Archaeal large subunit ribosomal RNA", at positions 1985 to 2670 of the family's 2987-position model. The record is from RNAcentral. Lineage: Eukaryota; Metazoa; Arthropoda; Arachnida; Araneae; Ochyroceratidae.
CCUGCUCCAUGACCUUUUAAUAGCCGCUCAUAGUGCUAAGGUAGCAUAAUAAAUUGCUUUUUAAUUAAAAGAUCGAAUGAAAGGAAGCACGAUUUAUUAACUAUAUCAAUAUACAGAUAUUAAACUUAAAUUCAUGUAAAAAUUCAACAUUAUCUAGCAAGACGACAAGACCCUAUCGAACUUAACUACACAGUUAUACUGGGAAGGUAAAAAACAAAAUCUUUUUUUUUCCACCAAUAAACGCUAUUAUUGAAUAAAAAUAAGUUACCGUAGGGAUAACAGCACAAUAACUUAUUCAAGCUCAUAUAAAAUAAGUUGAUUAUGACCUCGAUGUUGAAUUAACACUACUUUUUCUAGAAAAAUAUAAAAGUGUGAGUCUGUUCGACUCCUAACCUGUUACAU